Molecule: long non-coding RNA, 394 nt
Organism: Egretta garzetta (little egret)
Lineage: Eukaryota; Metazoa; Chordata; Aves; Pelecaniformes; Ardeidae
Exons: 3
Source: RefSeq, a predicted model, not a curated record
GUAAGUUUAGUUAGACAUCGCAUGGCAGAGCGGGUCUGCGGUGGAUUUUAAGGGGCUCGGAGACGAGCAGGCGAUGCCCAUUUCAGAGCAGGAAGACGCUGUGCUUUCUUAGGUGCCCAUCCUGGCACCGCCACUGCCGGCGAAGCUGUUGGACUUGGGAGGGGAUAGAGCUGUGUGUAAAUGAGAAGAGAGGAGUGCACCGGAGUGCUAUGGAGGGCAGCAAGUUUGUUGCUGUGACUUUCACAAGCCUUCAAGGAAUUUCCAUGGAGUUGGACUGAAAUAAAGUAUUGGGAUGUCUCUAUUUGGAUUAAAAUUUGGAAAGCAGAAAUUGAAAGAGGAAGAGAGACAACUUCAAGCAAACAACCGGGAUUUUAAUCUGCAGUUUGAAUAUGCU